This 217-nucleotide unclassified non-coding RNA is filed under the name Hevea brasiliensis (rubber tree). Lineage: Eukaryota; Viridiplantae; Streptophyta; Magnoliopsida; Malpighiales; Euphorbiaceae. The record is from RNAcentral.
GGCAAUUUCCUCUCCGAGUUGGCUUGUCUGACAUUUCACUGAGUUAAUUUCAUUUUCGAGAUUUUGUAGUGUAGUUAUUUGCAUUUGCUCCUCGGCUGUUAUCUUAACUGCUUCAUCCUCUACAUCACUCAUUUGAGUGCGAAGAGUCUUCAUCCACUGAAAAUACUCUUCCAUUUUUGCAGAAACCUCAAUUCGCAGAGCUAUGAGCCGCAGAUUC